Molecule: long non-coding RNA, 2443 nt
Organism: Meriones unguiculatus (Mongolian gerbil)
Lineage: Eukaryota; Metazoa; Chordata; Mammalia; Rodentia; Muridae
Exons: 2
Source: RefSeq, a predicted model, not a curated record
GACAAUGCAGAUAGGUCCACAUACAUGGAAGCAAGCCAGAUCCUCAGCCUUAGCCAAAUGUGGAGUUGUUUGUGACAGAGAGCACUCACCAUCAGGAAGGUGGAAGGCGGAAACCAGCUCCAUCUUUAAGGCGCGGCAUUACGCAGACACAGAGCCAUUUUCACAUAAGUAUAUGAUGGUCUUUGACCAUACCCUCUUAUUCCCAGGUACCCUCUCUCUUCUUGCCCUUCUAGGAUUUCAUGAGUCCCAUUGGUUUCCUAGAGACACCCUCUCUCCGAACCUAGAGCUCACCAAGUUGGACAGACUGGCUGGCCAGUAAGCCCCACGGAUCUGCCUGUCUUCGCCUCCCCAGGGCUGACUGCUGCAGCUUUUGCACAUGCGUGCUGGGGAUCAAACUUAGGUCCUUGUGCUGGGCAGCAAGCACGUUACUGCUCUGCCAUCGCCCCAGCCCCAAUCUGUGAUUUAAUUCGCUCAGUCUGAGCACCUCUAGACGUAUCCAUUUUCCUGCUAAUGAAAUAAUGCCAUUCUUUGUGGCUGAAAAAGCUUCCAUUGUGUGUAUAUACCAUAUCUUCCUUGCCCACUUCUCUGUUGUUGGACACCUAGAUUGUUUCCAUAACUUGGCUACUGUGAAGAAUGGGAUCAUUAUCACCAUUGCUGACCAUGCCUGACUCAUAAUGAGGGAUCAACAGCUCAGCAGAUCAUGUGGAAUCAAGUGGACACCUCAGCCGAGGCCGGGAAAUGCUGAGGUCUCUGUGAUAUUCUUUGCAAUCCUUCUGUCACAAGUGGCUUAGAUAUCCAUCACCUCAGAACAAACACUGAGUGCUAGAGUCCUGUUUGGGCAUGAGUAGAGUAAGUACAGUCCUCAAAUGUAAAAAUUAUCAUGAAAAACCCUGAAAAGCUAGGCAUGCGGAUGCACAGCUGUAAUCCUGGCACUCAGGGGACAGAAGCCAGAGGAUCUCAGCAAAUUCCAGGCCAGCCAAUGCGACUUCAGAGGACCCCACCUUAAAGGAAGAAAGAAAAGAAAGAAGAGAGGGAAACACAGGGGGCGGGGGAACAGUUGAUGUGCCUGGUAUAAGCAUGUAAAUUAUCAAGAAUCUUUAAGCGGUGCCACAGACCUGUUACCCUAGCUACUGUGGAGAAGGGCAGGAAGACUGAAAGUGUAAGAACUACAGAACCGGCUCAAUGCCAGUCUGUCUAAAAAUGGAAGGAAGAAGGAAGGGAGGGAGGGAGGGAAGGAGGGAGAGAGGGAGGGAAGGAGGAGGGAGGGAAGAAGGUAAGGAGGAAGGAAGGAGGAAAGAGAGGGAGGAUAAAGGAAAAAAAGGAAGGGAAGAAGGGAGAAAGGGAGGGAAGGAGGGAGAAAUGGAGGGAGGGACAGAGGGAGGGAAGGAGGGAGAGAGGGAAGCUGAGGAUAUUGCCCAGUGGUACACCAGUUGCCUAGCAAGCCCAAGGCUGUAGAUUCGAUGUCCAGGACAGGGAAAGAAAGGAAGGGGGAAAAAGGAAGGAAAAAAAGAAAGAGAAAGGGGAAAAAAGGCAAAAGCUUUUGUGUAAAUCUUUACAAGCAAAAACUGUCAAUCAAAACCUAAAAUGAACUUGUCCCAAAUGUGAUUUCUGAAUCUUUGGGUGUUUUCCUCCUUAGGCUUUUCAGUUCUCCGUUGUUUUACCAUAACUGUUACAGUUAAAUUUCCUGCGUGAUCAAAAUACACUGUGUGCAUGUAUGAAAUCCUCAAUGAAGUCAUAAAAAUAUUAUAGUAAUGAAAAUAUUUUAUUGCUAGCUUCAUUUGGUGCAAUUGAAAUAAAACUGUAGCCUGUAUGUUUCUUGUUUAUGACAACAGAUGAUCUCCCGAAAUAAUGUGUUAAUUAUAAACUAAGUUAUAGUUGGUGUAAAAUAAAUGCCUCAGAAAGGCACUAUGUGCUUCCUCAUCAUCUCAUUGUUCUUCACAAAGCUUGUAAGAGUCAGAAGUGCCAACACACACAAACACACAAAUACAUACCACACACACAGAUAAAUACACACACUCACACACACACACACACAUACACACACAGACGGACACACACACAUGAUCACACUUUCUCAAGCAUGCACAUACACACCACACACACAUACACACAUACAUAAACUCACACAGACAUACACACAGACACACACUCACACUCACAUACAUGCACGCUCACACACCACACACAGACACUUCACACACAUAGACACAGCGGCACACACUCACAGAUCAUGUAAUCUCCAUCUUUCAAUUUGAAAUAACUGUCGAGUGUUGCUUGUUUGUCUUACCUUCUGUCAGCACACCUUGACAUGGUGUCGUUUGUAGUCAAGAUGAUGAAAAGAGUUUUUGCCCUAUCUUUGUUCUGUGACAAACACACUUAGCUCAUUCACACAGUCCAAGGUUUUCUUUUUAUAGUUUGCAAAUUAAAGAAUGUUGCCAAGUAA